Molecule: unclassified non-coding RNA, 200 nt
Filed under: soil metagenome
Description: partial contains internal transcribed spacer 2 and large subunit ribosomal RNA
Source: RNAcentral
UUCGAGCGUCAUUACAACCCUCAAGCUCAGCUUGGUAUUGGGUGCCAUCAGUCUUGAUGCACCUUAAAAUCAGUGGCGGUGCCAUUCGGCUUCAAGCGUAGUAAAUUUCUCGCCCUGGAGUUUAAUCGGUCUACCUGCCAGAACCCUCAAAUAUAUCAAAGGUUGACCUCGGAUCAGGUAGGGAUACCCGCUGAACUUAA